GGUCAAGCGAAUACAGGUCUAUGGCGGAUGCCUAUGGAGCCGUAAGACGAAGAAGGACGCGGUAAGCUGCGAAAAGCCGGGGUCAGGAGCACACAUCCGUUUACCCCCGGAUAUCCGAAUGGAGUAAUCCGGUACAGUAAUGUAUCAUCCGAAGCACUGAAUAAAAUAGGUGCCGGAAGUCACACUGCAUGAAGUGAACCAUCUAAGUAAUGCGGGAACAGAAAUCAAUAGAGAUUCCCCAAGUAGCGGCGAGCGAACGGGGAGGAGCCCAAACCACAUUUUGUGGGGUUGUAGGACUGCGACGUGAGUUUGUAAAAACUGAAAGAUAGGAGAAGCGUUUGGGAAGGCGCGCCAGAGUGAGUGAAAGCCUCGUAUCCGAAAUCCGACAGUCUCUAGCAGUAUCCUGAGUAGGGCGGGGCACGAGAAACCCAGUCCGAAUCCGGGUCGACCACGAUCCAAGGCUAAAUACUAGACGGCUACCGAUAGCGUACAAGUACCGUGAGGGAAAGGUGAAAAGAACCCCGGUAAGGGGAGUGAAAUAGAACCUGAAACCAUAGACUGACAAGAUGUCACAGCACGCAAGUGUAGUGGCGUGUCUUUUGUAGAAUAAACCUGCGAGUCACGUUAUGCAGCGAGGCUAAGGAAUUGGAGUUCCGGAGCCGGAGCGAAAGCGAGUCUGAUAAGGGCGAGUAAGUUGCAUGACGUGGACCCGAAGCCAAGGUGAUCUAUCCAUGAGCAGGUUGAAGGCAGGGUAACACCUGUUGGAGGACCGAACAGUAAUCUGUUAAAAAAGGUAGUGAUGACUCGUGGAUCGGAGUGAAAGGCUAAUCAAACCUGGAGAUAGCUGGCUCUCCCCGAAAUGCCUUUAGGGACAGCCUCAUACAAAGCUUACGGAGGUAAAGCACUGGAUGGACAAUGGGGAGUCAAAUCCUACAAAGUUCAAUCAAACUCUGAAUGCCGUAAGCCAGCGUAUGGGAGUGAGACUGUGUGCGCCAAGGUUCAUAGUCGAGAGGGAAACAGCCCGGACCGGCGAUUAAGGUCCCAAAAUCAUGCUAAGUGUUAAAUGAAGUGAAGAUGCACAGACAGCCAGGAGGUUGGCUUAGAAGCAGCCAUUCCUUAAAAGAGUGCGUAACAGCUCACUGGUCGAGCAUCUUUGCGCAGACAAUGUAACGGGGCUAAGCAUGAUACCGAAAUCCCGGAUUCAUCACAUAGGUGAUGACUGGUAGGGGAGCAUUCUGCUAACUGAUGAAGGAGUACGGGUGACCGGCUCUGGAGGAGGCAGAAGAGAGAAUGCAGGCAUAAGUAACGAAAAGACGGGUGCGAUCCCCGUCCGCCGAAAACCUAAGGGUUCCGGGGUAAAGGCAAUCUGCCCCGGGUAAGUCGGCCCCUAAGGCGAGGACGAAAGUCGUAGUCGAUGGGAAAUCGGUUUAUAAUCCGAUACUUGAUAAGUUUCUAUGGAAUGACGCAUGAGGUGAAAUCCGGCCGGGCGACGGUUGUCCCGGUCAAAGCAACGAGGUGCUGAGGGAGUGGUUAAAAUAACUUCCGAGCUGAGUUGUUACAGCGAGCGGAAAGAAAGUUGAAGCGAAGCGGACGUAAUCAAGGUGCCGGGAAAUAGUUCCUAGGUGUGGCUUAUCAAACCGUACCGUAAACGGACACACGUAGGUGGGAUGAGUAAUCUAAGGCGCACGAGCGAACUCGCGUUAAGGAACUCGGCAAAAUGCGCACGUAACUUCGGAAGAAGUGCGGCUCCUGUUGUUAAAGAUGAGGAGCGACACAAAGCAGGCCCAGGCGACUGUUUAUCAAAAACACAGCCAUCUGCGAACCAGUAAUGGGACGUAUAGGUGGUGACACCUGCCCGGUGCUGGAAGGUUAAGAGGAGCGGUCAAGAGCAAUCUGAAGCUGUGAAUCGAAGCCCCAGUAAACGGCGGCCGUAACUAUAACGGUCCUAAGGUAGCGAAAUUCCUUGUCGGGUAAGUUCCGACCCGCACGAAUGGUGUAACGAUUCUGGGCACUGUCUCAACGCGAGACUCGGUGAAAUUUAUAUUCCGGUAAAGAAGCCGGAUACCCAUAAUUAGACGGAAAGACCCCGUGAACCUUCACCGUAACUUAAUAUUGGGAUCCUGUUCAUUAUGUGUAGGAUAGCUGGGAGGCAGUGAAGCGUGGCCGUCAGGUUGCGCAGAGCCAAUGGUGAAAUACCAGCCUUGAUGGACAGGAUUUCUAACCUUAGCCUUGAAGCAGGUUUGGGGACAAUGUUAGGCAGGCGGUUUGACUGGGGCGGUCGCCUCCCAAAGAGUAACGGAGGUGCGCGAAGGUCUCCUCGCGCUGGUUGGAAAUCAGCGUACGAGUGUAAAGGCACAAGGAGGCUUGACUGCGAGGGUGACAAUCCGAGCAGGUACGAAAGUAGGUCUUAGUGAUCUGAUGGUGCUGAGUGGAAAGGCCAUCACUUAACGGACAAAAGGUACUCCGGGGAUAACAGGCUGAUUUUCCCCAAGAGUUCACAUCGACGGGAAAGUUUGGCACCUCGAUGUCGGCUCAUCGCAUCCUGGGGCUGGAGCAGGUCCCAAGGGUUUGGCUGUUCGCCAAUUAAAGCGGUACGUGAGCUGGGUUCAGAACGUCGCGAGACAGUUCGGUCCCUAUCUGUUAUGGGCGCUGGAAGUUUGAGAGGAGCUGCUUUUAGUACGAGAGGACCGAAGUGGACGAACCUCUGGUUUACCAGUUAUCCUGCCAAGGGUAAGUGCUGGGUAUCUAAGUUCGGAAGGGAUAACCGCUGAAAGCAUCUAAGCGGGAAGCCCACCUCAAGAUAAGACUUCCCUAAGACUAUAAGUCUUCUGAAGACCCCAGAGAGACUAUCUGGUUGAUAGGAUGCAGGUGUAAGCACAGCGAUGUGUUCAGCCGAGCAUUACUAAUAGGUCGUGAGGCUUGACCAU
Treponema sp. JC4 is the source of this 2927-nucleotide non-coding RNA. The record is from Rfam. NCBI's taxonomy places the organism in Bacteria, Pseudomonadati, Spirochaetota, Spirochaetia, Treponematales, Treponemataceae.